UGGGCCUAAGAACCAAAAUGAAUAGAGUCAGCAUUCAUUUAAUAGUUAUUGGUUGUAACAUAAUCCUCCUAGGAACAGGAUGAUGCAGAGCUCUAAAUUAAGGCUAUUUUUUGAUGGGGGUAUGGAAAGGAGAGACAUAUAUGUUGCCACUUAUACGACUAGUUACAAAAUAGGAAGGAAAUAUAUAUAGUCUUUAUAGGCCACAUACAUUUCCCUCUUACUUUUCUUCCUUCCAACCAAACAUAACAUAAGAAUAAAACAAAUCUAUAAGCUGAAUGCCGUGCUCGUCUUGAAUGGAUAUAUACAAGAAACUUAUUUCAGGUGCAGUUCCCAGGUGCUAAAAGGGAAUUUGUGGAACAGAGAUGAUUGAGAUCCAUACUCCAACCUGAUUAGUAAUCCAAGUAAUCAGGGCUCAGAUAACCAACACUCAAUUGGAUUUUCAAUUACUUUGUGCUUAAUAUUUGCAAACAGGAGGCAAGGGCUUAGACACCUGACUUCAGAGAGCAACUAAUAUUCUAAUUUAUAGUGUACCAAUUCAUACAAGGAGAAGUAAUCUUGUUUUGAUCUAAUACUAGAAGAGCUGACGGCCCACAAAUAUAGACAAACAAAGAGACUUUUACAAAAGCCACUAGGCUUUUCUUUUUAAAUAUAACUAAAUAAUAAAUGAGAGCCUUAUUGUAAUUUAAGAUAAAGAAAAAAAGUACCA
This 706-nucleotide unclassified non-coding RNA is filed under the name Hevea brasiliensis (rubber tree). The record is from RNAcentral. Lineage: Eukaryota; Viridiplantae; Streptophyta; Magnoliopsida; Malpighiales; Euphorbiaceae.